GGGAAGUAUAUCGCUUCUGAUAUGUUUAUGGUAGGUGGGUAUACGUGGGCGAUUUAUUUCUAUCCUGAUGGGAAGAGUACUGAAGAUAAUUCAACAUAUGUGUCGUUGUUCAUUGCUCUAGCGAGCGAAGGAACGGAUGUGAGGGCGCUUUUUGAGCUGACGCUGAUUGAUCAGAGUGGUAAGAGUAGGCAUAAAGUGCAUAGCCAUUUUGGGAGAGCGUUGGAGAGUGGACCGUACACUCUUAAAUACCGUGGA
This 255-nucleotide unclassified non-coding RNA is filed under the name Hevea brasiliensis (rubber tree). Lineage: Eukaryota; Viridiplantae; Streptophyta; Magnoliopsida; Malpighiales; Euphorbiaceae. The record is from RNAcentral.